This 286-nucleotide unclassified non-coding RNA is filed under the name uncultured Helvella. RNAcentral describes it as "sequence contains ITS2". Lineage: Eukaryota; Fungi; Ascomycota; Pezizomycetes; Pezizales; Helvellaceae. The record is from RNAcentral.
AACGCACAUUGCGCCCCCUGGCAUUCCGGGGGGCAUGCCUGUUCGAGCGUCUCUUGACGAAAACUCGCGCCAGUGACGGGCGCGGUCUUGGCAGGCGGAGGCGAGCCCGGAGGGGCGGCCACCGCGCUGGAAUGCAUGGGCGGAAGCCAGCCCCGUGGCCGAGCGUGAUGUGACACAGUUGUCGCUCGUGCGCGGCGAGGCUUCCAGCCAUUGCCCGUUUGUCGGGCGGGGAGUAACGACUCAUUGGGAACUCCUCGAAUCAGGUAGGGAUACCCGCUGAACUUAA